RNAcentral lists this ribosomal RNA (575 nucleotides) under Hincksella formosa. RNAcentral's name for it is "partial large subunit ribosomal RNA". It matches the Rfam family "Bacterial large subunit ribosomal RNA", at positions 1830 to 2597 of the family's 2925-position model. The record is from RNAcentral. Lineage: Eukaryota; Metazoa; Cnidaria; Hydrozoa; Leptothecata; Syntheciidae.
UUCCCAGAAUAAAUCUGAGAUGCAACCUGCCCAAUGAUUUUAAAUCAAAAUAAAUAACAAUUAUUCAAUAAAAUUAAAAGGACGCGGUAACCUUGACCGUGAUAAUGUAGCAUAAUCAUUCGCCAUUUAAUUGAUGGAUAGCAUGAAUGGUUUAACGAAUAUUCCACUGUCUUAAAAAGAAAUAAACACAAAAAUUAGAAUAAUAGUUAAGAUACUAUUUAAAAUUGUAAGACGAAAAGACCCUAUAGAGCUUAACUAUAAUCUUUUUAAAAGAAAGAAAGGUAGUUUAGUUGGGGCAACUAUCUUCUAAAUUAAACGAAGAAAAUUAAUUAAAAAAUAAUAUAAAUUACUGUAUAAUAAAUAAAUUUAACAGUUAUAAUAAUAGAAUAUAAUGACCCGUUAAUAUUAAAUAAAAAAAAUUAACGAACAAUAAAUAAAAGCUACCUUAGGGAUAACAGGAUAAUUUCAUUCAAGAGAUCUAAUCAAAAAUGAAGUUUGUCACCUCUAUGUUGAAUUAAGAUAUCCUGACGAUGCAGAAGUUGUCAAAGGUAGGUCUGUUCGACCUUUAAAAUCUU